This 1875-nucleotide ribosomal RNA is filed under the name Triticum aestivum (bread wheat). RNAcentral describes it as "partial small subunit ribosomal RNA". Lineage: Eukaryota; Viridiplantae; Streptophyta; Magnoliopsida; Poales; Poaceae. The record is from RNAcentral.
AUGAAAAUUGUAAGUUGGAACUGGUGGGGGCUCGGGAAUGGCCCGACAGUUCGUUCUCUUCUCGAUCUGGGAAGAGUGGAGGAACCCGAUAUUCUGUUUUUGUGUGAAACUAGGAUGGAGGAGAAGGAGUUGGACCGGUUUAGGUGGCUGUUAGGGCUCACCCACAUGUGCUCAUGGAAGGGAGAGGGGAGGAGUCGAGGUGUGGCAUAGUUCUGGAGGAAGGAAGUGGAUGUGACUCUGAGAUCGUCUGGGAGGAGGCAUAUAGAUGUUGAUGUAAGGAGGGAUUAUGGUUUGGUGUGGAGGCUCACGGGUGUGUACGGAGAAUCGGAAAUGGAUAGGAAAAAGGAGACCUGCAGAAUGAUGCGCAUUCUGAAACAACAACAUCAGGGUGGAAGGCCUUGGCUAUGUCUCGGCGACUUUAAUGAGAUUUUGAUGACCAUGGAGAAAGCAGGAGGGGCAGCCCGGCCCCAACAUUACCUGGAUGGCUUCCGGGAGGCCUUGCAGACCUGCGAGCUUGGUGACAUUGGAUUUGAGGGGGACAUUUUCACGUGGAGGAAUCAUAGCAAGGAGCUGCGCACAUAUAUUUGUGAGAGAUUGGACAGGGCCACAUCGAAUGCAGAAUGGUGCGAGCAGUUCCUGGAGUACACAGUGAUUAAUGGCCUGCCCAUACACUCUGACCAUCAGCCUAUUAUUUUGAAUACAGAAGCUCUUGAUAGGGAGUGGUAGAAAGGGGAUGGGAGUUUUUGGUUUGAGGCUCACUGGUUAUAAGAGGAAGGGUGUGAAGUUAUAGUACGUGGAGCCUGGGAGAAGAGCUGGGAGACGGGGGAUGGAAAGGUGGCCAAAGCACUACAAAAAGUGGCGGGAGAUAUGAGCAUAUGGAGCAGGGAGGUAGUAGGGGAGUUGGGGGGAAGACUAAAAAGGAAAAAAAAAGAGCUGGAAGCGUGCAUGAGGGAGAUAGUGUCGGAGCAUAAAAUCAAAGAAGAGGCUCGGCUGCGGUGUCUGAUUGAGGAGCUUGAGGAGAAGAAGCAUGCGCAAAUGAAGCAACGGGCCCAUAUGUGGUGGCUUAGGGAUGACAAUAUGAACAUUAAAUAUCUGGAGUCGGAAGCCUCGGCUAGGAAGAAAACUAACCGAAUAAAGGAGUUGUGGAAGGAGGAUGGAACGGUGGUAGAGGAAGGUGAGGAGUUAACUAACUAUGUGUGUUCGUUUUUUCAGGACCUUUUCUUAGCAUCCUCUAAUCCUCAUCGAUUGCCGGAACUCCUUGAAAAGGUGCAGGCGCGGGUAACUGAGGCCAUGAACAACAUCUUGCUUGCUGAAUUCACUCGUGAGGAAGUAAAGGCGGCCCUUGACCAUAUCGGCGAUCUAAAGGCCCCGGGACCGGAUGGCAUGCCGGCGAUUAUGUUUAAAAGGCAUUGGCAUUUCAUGGGGGACCAAGUAAUGGAUGAGGUGCUGCGAGUGCUAAAUGGAGGAGACAUGCCUGAAGGAUGGAACGACACGCAUGUGAUCCUAAUUCCCGAGGUAAAGAAUCCACAGAGGAUAAAGGAUCUACGGCCGAUCAACCUAUGCAAUGUUCUGUAUAAGUUAGUCUGCGAAGUGAUAGCCAACAGACUGAAGAUGAUUCUCCCAUCGCUGAUUUCUGACAACCAGAGUGUGUUUGUCCCGAGAAGAUUAACAACGGAUAAUGUACUUAUCGCUUAUGAGCUUUCUCGCUAUGUCAUGAACAAGAAGAGUUGGAAGGAUGGGUACAUGGCGGUGAAGGCCGACAUGAGCAAGGCAUAUGAUCGAGUAGAGUGGUGCUUCCUUGAGGCGAUGAUGUGCAAGAUGGGCUUCAGGAGAGAGUGGGUGGACUUAAUCAUGAAAUGCGUCAGAACGGUUUGA